RNAcentral lists this ribosomal RNA (253 nucleotides) under uncultured bacterium. RNAcentral's name for it is "partial 16S ribosomal RNA". It matches the Rfam family "Bacterial small subunit ribosomal RNA", at positions 524 to 776 of the family's 1533-position model. The record is from RNAcentral.
UACGUAGGGUGCGAGCGUUAAUCGGAAUUACUGGGCGUAAAGGGCGCGUAGGCGGCAUGGCAAGUCGGGAGUGAAAUCCCCGGGCUCAACCCGGGAACUGCGUCCGAUACUGGGAGGCUUGAAUCCGGGAGAGGGAUGUGGAAUUCCAGGUGUAGCGGUGAAAUGCGUAGAUAUCUGGAGGAACACCGGUGGCGAAGGCGGCAUCCUGGACCGGUAUUGACGCUGAGGCGCGAAAGCCAGGGGAGCAAACGGG